AUGACAUAUGGCUGUUCAUUAUUUAUACAUUCUGUAGCAGACUAUAAAUUUUCCUUUGGACAUAUAUCGAGGCACUGAAACCAUUUUGGUUGCAAACACAUAAAUCAUGGUUACAGAUAUUAGUCUAAAUGUAACACCACCCAGGUUCUAGAUCAAAACCUUUAAAAUCCAUUGUAAUUGAUGUCUGCUGUAUAACUUAUGUCUGAUUUUAUUAAAGGUUCUCAUUAUUAUUUAUAUAUUUGGAGAUUAUACUCCCAGCUGUGCUACUAUAUCCAGAGUAAAUUAUUUUGAGGUGUAGGAUUGAGAGAGGAUAUAGAAGUGUGUCAGGGUGCCAGAGUGGGGAGGGGAAGGCUCUUUGUGAAAUGUUAAAAAAAAAAAAGUGGAAGAAGGAAUGGGUGUUGUAUUUCAACGCGGUCUAAUUCAUGUAAUGAUUUCGUUAAUUUACCUCCCAAACGCCUUGUCCUCUGUACCAAUUGACAUUCAUUUGAGACAAAUAAAACAGCCGUGGAGUUGUGUCAGCUAAAUUAUAAAUUAGCGAAAGGGUAACCGAGUGAGCCGGAUUCCCAGGGCUGCCACUGGACUAGGCUUUUCAAAGACCAGAAACGCUUAGAUUGAUCCAUACAUCACAGCGCCGAGAUGCCUCAGUGAAAUGGGGACCGAGGAUUGAUGGCACUUCACAGGCUCAUUAGGAAGCCUCAGGUUGGUGAGCCACUCGCCCAGCGUGACUGCAGAGUGCUGGCAGGCUGACACAAGGGGACGGGCCAUGUCAAAGCAGCAUGGAGAGUGAAGAGCAAAGGCAGCUCGCCACGGAGAAGAGAGCACCGCACCAGGAGGCAGGAGGCCAGUGAAGAAGGAAGUGAGGAGACUGAAUGGCAGGGACCUGAGCUUCAGAGCCUCAUAAACCAGGGUCCCCAUCUCUGCUGGGCCGUUACCAGACUUGUGGCCCCUACAAGAACUUCUCUAGCCAGUCAGAGCCUCAUCUGUAGCAAGGAUACAAUUAUAAGGAUUUGCUAUAA
This 1016-nucleotide long non-coding RNA is filed under the name Homo sapiens (human). Its description in RNAcentral is "HSALNT0227318". The record is from RNAcentral. Lineage: Eukaryota; Metazoa; Chordata; Mammalia; Primates; Hominidae.